This 468-nucleotide ribosomal RNA is filed under the name uncultured bacterium. RNAcentral describes it as "partial 16S ribosomal RNA". It matches the Rfam family "Bacterial small subunit ribosomal RNA", at positions 28 to 507 of the family's 1533-position model. The record is from RNAcentral.
GACGAACGCUGGCGGCGUGCUUAACACAUGCAAGUCGAACGGAAAGGCCCUGCUUUUGUGGGGUGCUCGAGUGGCGAACGGGUGAGUAACACGUGAGUAACCUGCCCUUGACUUUGGGAUAACUUCAGGAAACUGGGGCUAAUACCGGAUAGGAGCUCCUGCUGCAUGGUGGGGGUUGGAAAGUUUCGGCGGUUGGGGAUGGACUGGCGGCUUAUCAGCUUGUUGGUGGGGUAGUGGCUUACCAAGGCUUUGACGGGUAGCCGGCCUGAGAGGGUGAACGGCGACAAGGGGACUGAGAUACGGACCAGACUCGUACGGGAGGCAGCAGUGGGGAAUAUUGCACAAUGGGCGCAAGCCUGAUGCAGCAACGCCGCGUGCGGGAUGACGGCCUUCGGGUGGUAAACCGCUUUCGCCUGUGACGAAGCGUGAGUGACGGUAAUGGGUAAAGAAGCACCGGCUAACUACGUG